This 492-nucleotide ribosomal RNA is filed under the name uncultured bacterium. Its description in RNAcentral is "partial 16S ribosomal RNA". It matches the Rfam family "Bacterial small subunit ribosomal RNA", at positions 29 to 507 of the family's 1533-position model. The record is from RNAcentral.
AGUGAACGCUGGCGGUAGGCCUAACACAUGCAAGUCGAACGGCAGCACAGUAAGAGCUUGCUCUUACGGGUGGCGAGUGGCGGACGGGUGAGGAAUACAUCGGAAUCUACUUUUUCGUGGGGGAUAACGUAGGGAAACUUACGCUAGUACCGCAUACGACCUACGGGUGAAAGCAGGGGAUCUUCGGACCUUGCGCGAUUGAAUGAGCCGAUGUCGGAUUAGCUAGUUGGCGGGGUAAAGGCCCACCAAGGCGACGAUCCGUAGCUGGUCUGAGAGGAUGAACAGCCACACUGGAACUGAGACACGGUCCAGACUCCUACGGGAGGCAGCAGUGGGGAAUAUUGGACAAUGGGCGCAAGCCUGAUCCAGCCAUACCGCGUGGGUGAAGAAGGCCUUCGGGUUGUAAAGCCCUUUUGUUGGGAAAGAAAAGCAGCAGGUUAAUACCCCGCUGUUCUGACGGUACCCAAAGAAUAAGCACCGGCUAACUUCGUG